AACGAACGCUGGCGGCAGGCCUAACACAUGCAAGUCGAGCGCGCCCUUCGGGGUGAGCGGCGGACGGGUGAGUAACGCGAGGGAACGUUCACUUUUCUACGGAAUAGCUUCGGGAAACGGAGAGUAAUACCGAAUACGCCCUAAGGGGGAAGGAUUUCUCGGAAAAGAAUCGGCGCGCGUUGGAUUAGGUAGUUGGUUGGGUAAUGGCCUACCAAGCCGACGAUGCAUAGCUGGGUUGAGAGGAAGAUCAGCGACACUGGGACUGAGACACGGCCCGGACUCCUACGGGAGGCAGCAGUGGGGAAUCUUAGACCAUGGGGGCAACCCUGAUCGAGCCAUGCCGCGUGAGUGAUGAAGGCCUUAGGGUUGUAAAGCUCUUUCAGCUGGGAAGAUAAUGACGGUACCAGCAGAAGAAGCCCCGGCUAACUCCGUG
This 433-nucleotide ribosomal RNA is filed under the name uncultured bacterium. Its description in RNAcentral is "partial 16S ribosomal RNA". It matches the Rfam family "Bacterial small subunit ribosomal RNA", at positions 29 to 507 of the family's 1533-position model. The record is from RNAcentral.